Agrilus planipennis (emerald ash borer) is the source of this 683-nucleotide long non-coding RNA. RefSeq lists it as uncharacterized. NCBI's taxonomy places the organism in Eukaryota, Metazoa, Arthropoda, Insecta, Coleoptera, Buprestidae. The record is from RefSeq and is a predicted model, not a curated record. The transcript has 3 exons.
AAUUCUGCUGUAGAAAUUACAAGUUAAAAGCCGUGAAAAUGUUCAGCCAACGUUUAGUAAUUGUUUUUAUUGCAUUAAUUUCAUUUUCUUACUCGCAGUACACCUCGCGAGGUCAAUGUAGUGAUCGAGACAGAAUUAAUGUAAGCGCGGUACAAUUAUUCAACUUGCAGCGGUUUGCAGGAAAUGGGGCGGCAUGGUACCCUGUUAUUGCAUACAACAACAACCUCAAUUGCCAAACCGUGUAUUUUACCUUAACCAGUAGUGACACUAUGGAUGUGGUUUACGUACAAAAGAUUUAACCACCGGCGCAUGGUCUAGACAGAAACGACAAGCAAAAUGGGUUCGACCUUCUUAUAGACAAGGGAUUAUAAGUGUGGAUUACUCCGAUGUUGGCGAGCCUUUGGUAUAUAAAAUUGUUGGAAUGGUUUAUGAUGAAUUCACUAUUCAUUACAGUUGCAUCAAUCUGGAUAAAGAAAACAGACAGGAAUUUCUGCAUGUGAUGAGCCGGAACAGAAGUUUGACAUCAGAUCAAAGAACUAGGAUUAGUCGGAUUCUUGAAAGGCAACAUCUGAAUGGAACAAUGGUGAAUGUUGUACAGGACCCAGCAGUUUGUUAAAUAUAAAAUAACAAUGACAUUUAUUUUGUGAAAAACUGAUUUCAAUUAAAUUUGAUAGCAAUGUGAA